UACGGAAGGCAGCAGUGGGGAAUAUUGGACAAUGGGCGCAAGCCUGAUCCAGCCAUGCCGCGUGUGUGAAGAAGGCCUUUUGGUUGUAAAGCACUUUAAGCGAGGAGGAGGCUCUCUUAGUUAAUACCUAAGAUGAGUGGACGUUACUCGCAGAAUAAGCACCGGCUAACUCUGUGCCAGCAGCCGCGGUAAUACAGAGGGUGCGAGCGUUAAUCGGAUUUUACUGGGCGUAAAGCGUGCGUAGGCGGCUUUUUUAAGUCGGAUGUGAAAUCCCCGAGCUUAACUUGGGAAUUGCAUUCGAUACUGGGAAGCUAGAGUAUGGGAGAGGAUGGUAGAAUUCCAGGUGUAGCGGUGAAAUGCGUAGAGAUCUGGAGGAAUACCGAUGGGCGAAGGGCAGCCAUCUGGGCCUAAUACUGACGCUGAGGUACGAAAGCAUGGGGAGGCAAACAGGAUUAGAUACC
This 461-nucleotide ribosomal RNA is filed under the name uncultured bacterium. RNAcentral describes it as "bacterial SSU rRNA". It matches the Rfam family "Bacterial small subunit ribosomal RNA", at positions 340 to 786 of the family's 1533-position model. The record is from RNAcentral.